AGUGAACGCUGGCGGUAGGCCUAACACAUGCAAGUCGAACGGCAGCACAGUAAGAGCUUGCUCUUACGGGUGGCGAGUGGCGGACGGGUGAUGAAUACAUCGGAAUCUACUUUUUCGUGGGGGAUAACGUAGGGAAACUUACGCUAAUACCGCAUACGUCCUACGGGUGGAAUCAGGGGAUCUUCGGACCUUGCGUGAUUGAAUGAGCCGAUGUCGGAUUAGCUAGUUGGCGGGGUAAAGGCCCACCAAGGCGACGAUCCGUAGCUGGUCUGAGAGGAUGAUCAGCCACGAUGGAACUGAGACACGGUCCAGACUCCUAAGGGAGGCAGCAGUGGGGAAUAUUGGACAAUGGGCGAAAGCCUGAUCCAGCCAUACCGCGUGAGUGAAGAAGGCCUUCGGGUUGUAAAGCGCUUUUGUUGGGAAAGAAAAGCAGCAGGUUAACACCCCGCUGUUCUGACGGUACCCAAAGAAUAAGCACCGGCUAACUUCGUG
RNAcentral lists this ribosomal RNA (492 nucleotides) under uncultured bacterium. RNAcentral describes it as "partial 16S ribosomal RNA". It matches the Rfam family "Bacterial small subunit ribosomal RNA", at positions 29 to 507 of the family's 1533-position model. The record is from RNAcentral.